This 253-nucleotide ribosomal RNA is filed under the name uncultured bacterium. RNAcentral's name for it is "partial 16S ribosomal RNA". It matches the Rfam family "Bacterial small subunit ribosomal RNA", at positions 524 to 776 of the family's 1533-position model. The record is from RNAcentral.
UACGAAGGGGGCUAGCGUUGUUCGGAAUCACUGGGCGUAAAGCGCAUGCAGGCGGAUUGUUAAGUCGGGGGUGAAAUCCCGAGGCUCAACCUCGGAACUGCCUUUGAUACUGAGAAGCUUGAGUCCGGGAGAGGUGAGUGGAACUGCGAGUGUAGAGGUGAAAUUCGUAGAUAUUCGCAAGAACACCAGUGGCGAAGGCGGCUCACUGGCCCGAUACUGACGCUGAGGUGCGAAAGCGUGGGGAGCAAACAGG